UGUGUCCUAAGAAGGUAGUCUGCUCAAGCCAGAACCCACACUUACUCAACUUUGCAUACAGCUUCUUCUCCUUGAGAACCUACAAAACCUAAGUUAGAUGGUGAGCAUGUUCCUCUCUGCUCUUUGAAUAGACUAAGAUAUUAUUAACGAACACAAUGACAAACUAAUUUAGGAAUUGUCUGAAAAUCCUAUUCAUCAAGUCCAUGAAGAU
RNAcentral lists this long non-coding RNA (211 nucleotides) under Carica papaya (papaya). Its description in RNAcentral is "long non-coding RNA (CPAP_LNC002986)". The record is from RNAcentral. Lineage: Eukaryota; Viridiplantae; Streptophyta; Magnoliopsida; Brassicales; Caricaceae.